UGACCACUGCGGAUUACGUUCAAUGUCAUUGUAAAGAUGUUAUGCAAUGAAUAUUUUUUUAAUCUGUAUACUCUCCAAAUAAUGCAACUAGGUAUAAUAGGUUUUGUGUAGUUUCAUAAUCAUGGUAUUUAUGGAGAAUGAUAAUUUGAUUUGGAAAUCUUAUAUUUUUUUAAUUUAAUUUCUACAACAACUUGUAACUGUGUUUUGUAGAUCCAUCACCUUUAUAUCACCUGUAUAUACUACUCAUGAUACUUGAUGAAUAAAGUCAAGAGAGAAUAAAAGAAUCCAGUUUCUUACAA
This is a long non-coding RNA of Saccostrea cuccullata (small rock oyster), 299 nucleotides long. RefSeq lists it as uncharacterized. The transcript is spliced from 2 exons. The record is from RefSeq and is a predicted model, not a curated record. NCBI's taxonomy places the organism in Eukaryota, Metazoa, Mollusca, Bivalvia, Ostreida, Ostreidae.